UUGAACGCUGGCGGCAUGCCUUACACAUGCAAGUCGCACGGUAACGGGCCUUCGGGUGCCGACGAGUGGCGAACGGGUGAGUAAUACAUCGGAACGUGCCCGAUCGUGGGGGAUAACGAGGCGAAAGCUUUGCUAAUACCGCAUACGAUCUACGGAUGAAAGCAGGGGACCGCAAGGCCUUGCGCGGACGGAGCGGCCGAUGGCAGAUUAGGUAGUUGGUGGGAUAAAAGCUUACCAAGCCGACGAUCUGUAGCUGGUCUGAGAGGAUGAUCAGCCACACUGGGACUGAGACACGGCCCAGACUCCUACGGGAGGCAGCAGUGGGGAAUUUUGGACAAUGGGCGCAAGCCUGAUCCAGCCAUGCCGCGUGCAGGAUGAAGGCCUUCGGGUUGUAAACUGCUUUUGUACGGAACGAAAAGCCUUCUUUUAAUACAGGAGGGUCAUGACGGUACCGUAAGAAUAAGCACCGGCUAACUACGUG
RNAcentral lists this ribosomal RNA (481 nucleotides) under uncultured bacterium. RNAcentral's name for it is "partial 16S ribosomal RNA". It matches the Rfam family "Bacterial small subunit ribosomal RNA", at positions 30 to 507 of the family's 1533-position model. The record is from RNAcentral.